UGGGGAAUAUUGGACAAUGGGGGCAACCCUGAUCCAGCGAUGCCGCGUGUGUGAAGAAGGCCUGCGGGUUGUAAAGCACUUUAGUUGGGGAGGAAAGGUAUGUACUGCAUAAGUGCAUGCUGUGACGUUACCCAAAGAAUAAGCACCGGCAAACUCUGUGCCAGCAGCCGCGGUAAUACAGAGGGUGCAAGCGUUAAUCGGAAUUACUGGGCGUAAAGCGCGCGUAGGUGGUUAGUUAAGUUGGAUGUGAAAUCCCCGGGCUCAACCUGGGAACUGCAUUCAAAACUGACUGACUAGAGUAUGGUAGAGGGUGGUGGAAUUUCCUGUGUAGCGGUGAAAUGCGUAGAUAUAGGAAGGAACACCAGUGGCGAAGGCGACCACCUGGACUGAUACUGACACUGAGGUGCGAAAGCGUGGGGAGCAAACAGGAUUAGAUACCCCCGUAGUCCCUGAGCGGGCUGGCAAGGCGCAU
This 472-nucleotide ribosomal RNA is filed under the name uncultured bacterium. RNAcentral's name for it is "bacterial SSU rRNA". It matches the Rfam family "Bacterial small subunit ribosomal RNA", at positions 355 to 825 of the family's 1533-position model. The record is from RNAcentral.